UUAUGGAAAAAUAUGGGAUGCAUGGAAUCAUAAAAUAAAAUUUUCCACAAGAUAACUAUAUACCGAUUCCGUUAUUCAUUUCAGGAACGUGUGUGAAAAGUAUCCAGAUUUGUUAAAAUAUGUUGAAAGCACAUUUUUUGACCAAGUGAAGGAGAUAAUCGUUUGUGCGUGGACUGAUCAUGUUAGACACCUUGAAAAUACAACAACUAAUAGAGUUGCGUAUGCUCAAGCUAAUUUGAAAAAUUG
RNAcentral lists this long non-coding RNA (246 nucleotides) under Lathyrus oleraceus (garden pea). RNAcentral's name for it is "Pisum sativum (pea) long non-coding RNA (PSAT_LNC032479)". The record is from RNAcentral. Lineage: Eukaryota; Viridiplantae; Streptophyta; Magnoliopsida; Fabales; Fabaceae.